CACUCUCUCUGGUAAUUGGCUCAAAGGCACGAAAGGGGCCGGGACUAAGAAGUAGCCCCGCCUCCUGGUAGCACCGACCUAGGGAAACGCUGCUUGGAAAGCAUGGAGAAGAUUCUCUGGGUGUGAAAAGAUGUCGAGAAGCCAAAUCCAUCCCUGGCAUGCAUUUUCCUUUAAGUGUAUCUGUCUCUUAGCAGGAUGGUAGUCACAUGAGUGUGUAGGCUUCUGAUCCGGAUUUCUAUCUCGUUGAGCCGCGUGGUUCGGAACCGGGUGAGGAAGACCCGGCGGGUGCCGCGGGGCUCUGGAAACUCUGGAGCAGCAGUGGCCGCACAGGGUGGCCUGGGAAAGUCAGCAGUCAACAGUGCAGUGACAGGAGCCGCAGCCCUGUGGCCCUGGAACUUCCUAGAUGUGAAAUUUCAACAAGAAUUCAAGUCUUUUUUUCUAAGAAACUCAGAGAAGAACCACAAGAACAAUGGAUGCUUCUAUGAUAACUGCUCCCCAGGGUCUGUUAUCAUUCAGGGAUGUGGCUGUGGACAUCUCACAGGAGGAAUGGGUAUGUCUAGAUUGUGCUCAGAGGGCUUUGCACGUGGAUAUGAUGUUGGAGAAUUACAACAAUCUACUCUUUGUACUCCAUGGCCUUCUUGGAUUGGGGAUGAGGAUGUGGAUUCUCAGCUUUCUGUUCCACCAACAUAGCUAUUUGCUGUCAGCCCUCCCUGUUGUAAUAAACUCUUUGCCCAUUGGAA
This is a long non-coding RNA of Mesocricetus auratus (golden hamster), 740 nucleotides long. RefSeq lists it as uncharacterized. The record is from RefSeq and is a predicted model, not a curated record. NCBI's taxonomy places the organism in Eukaryota, Metazoa, Chordata, Mammalia, Rodentia, Cricetidae. The transcript is spliced from 3 exons.